AUGUACGCGUCACUCGUCUCCUCCGCUUGGCCUGGCUUUGGUUUGCGCCAGCCAUCAUCUCAGAUCAGCCACCAUCUAAGAUCGGCCACCACCUCAGACAGGCCACCACCUCAGACAGGCCACCAUCUCAGACAGGCCACCAUCUCAGGCAGGACACCAUCUCAGACAGGACACCAUCUCAGACAGGACACCACAUCAGGCAGGCCACCACCUCAGACAGGCCACCACCUCAGACAGGACACCACCUCAGGCAGGCCACCUUCUCAGGCAGGCCACCACCUCAGACAGGCCACCACCUCAGACAGGCCAUCAUCUCAGACAGGACACCAUCUCAGACAGGACACCAUCUCAGACAGGCCAUCAUCUCAGACAGGCCACCAUCUCAGACAGGACAGGACACCACCUCAGACAGGCCACCACCUCAGACAGGACAGGACAGGACACCACCUCAGACAGGCCACCACCUCACACAGGACACCAUCUCAGACAGGCCACCACCUCAGACAGGACACCACCUCAGACAGGACAGGACACCACCUCAGACAGGACAGGACACCAUCUCAGACAGGACACCAUCUCAGACAGGACAGGACACCAUCUCAGACAGGACACCAUCUCAGACAGGCCACCAUCUCAGGCCACCACCUCAGACAGGACACCACCCCAGGACACCACCUGAGACAGGCCACCACCUCAGGGAAGCAGCUUCCCAAAGAGGCACCUUCAACGAGCCAUCUCUCAGCCCGCGAAGCCUCCGGAAUGUCUCCUUUUCCCCUCGUCUCCCCGAUCCCGUCUCCCAUACAGGAAGGCCGGUCCACGAGGAGACACUUGAGAGACUGGGCUGGACGGGGACAAGCCUCGAACGUCCAGCUCGGUCUGAAUGGUUACGACAAAGCCGGAGGCCUGGACACCCGUUUGGCCAACGAGCGUGGGGAGCAGGUGCCCGCGGCGCGUUCCUCCCGAGAUGGCCCAGACGAGAUGGCCCAGACGAGAUGGCCCAGACGCAGCACUGCGGGGCGGCUGGGAGGAGCGGAAGGGAGGGGAAGAAAGCCCAGGCCCAGGGAGGAGCCACAGCAGGGGGCAGGGGGGCAGGCGGGGCGCCGGCGGGGAGGGGGGCUGAGGCUGGAGAACCCUGCUCUAGACAGGAGAGGGGGCCGCUUCCACCCUGGGGAGGGCCGUGGAGCUGGAGGAGAGCUGGGCUCGGGAGUGUGA
Molecule: long non-coding RNA, 1212 nt
Filed under: Oryctolagus cuniculus (rabbit)
Lineage: Eukaryota; Metazoa; Chordata; Mammalia; Lagomorpha; Leporidae
Description: lncRNA (ENSOCUG00000036446.1)
Source: RNAcentral